Molecule: non-coding RNA, 87 nt
Filed under: Nesterenkonia sp.
Lineage: Bacteria; Bacillati; Actinomycetota; Actinomycetes; Micrococcales; Micrococcaceae
Description: SAM-I sequence
Rfam family: SAM riboswitch aptamer (S box leader)
About the family: The SAM riboswitch is found upstream of a number of genes which code for proteins involved in methionine or cysteine biosynthesis in Gram-positive bacteria.
Source: RNAcentral
UCACCAUCCAGAGCGACCGAGGGAUCUGGCCCGCAGACGUCGCAGCAACCCGGGAAUGCCGGGUGCUACCGCCAGAAUCGAUGGAGG